Molecule: ribosomal RNA, 560 nt
Filed under: uncultured bacterium
Lineage: Bacteria
Description: bacterial SSU rRNA
Rfam family: Bacterial small subunit ribosomal RNA
Source: RNAcentral
AGUCGAGCGGGCGUAGCAAUACGUCAGCGGCAGACGGGUGAGUAACGCGUGGGAACGUACCUUUUGGUUCGGAACAACACAGGGAAACUUGUGCUAAUACCGGAUAAGCCCUUACGGGGAAAGAUUUAUCGCCGAAAGAUCGGCCCGCGUCUGAUUAGCUAGUUGGUAGGGUAAUGGCCUACCAAGGCGACGAUCAGUAGCUGGUCUGAGAGGAUGAUCAGCCACAUUGGGACUGAGACACGGCCCAAACUCCUACGGGAGGCAGCAGUGGGGAAUAUUGGACAAUGGGGGCAACCCUGAUCCAGCCAUGCCGCGUGAGUGAUGAAGGCCCUAGGGUUGUAAAGCUCUUUUGUGCGGGAAGAUAAUGACGGUACCGCAAGAAUAAGCCCCGGCUAACUUCGUGCCAGCAGCCGCGGUAAUACGAAGGGGGCUAGCGUUGCUCGGAAUCACUGGGCGUAAAGGGUGCGUAGGCGGGUCUUUAAGUCAGGGGUGAAAUCCUGGAGCUCAACUCCAGAACUGCCUUUGAUACUGAAGAUCUUGAGUUCGGGAGAGGUGAGUGG